AGAUGACGAGCGGCGGACGGGUGAGUAAUGCUUGGGAAUAUGCCUUAGGGUGGGGGACAACAGUUGGAAACGACUGCUAAUACCGCAUAACGUCUACGGACCAAAGGGGGCUUCGGCUCUCGCCCUUAGAUUAGCCCAAGUGGGAUUAGCUAGUUGGUGAGGUAAUGGCUCACCAAGGCGACGAUCCCUAGCUGGUUUGAGAGGAUGAUCAGCCACACUGGAACUGAGACACGGUCCAGACUCCUACGGGAGGCAGCAGUGGGGAAUAUUGCACAAUGGGCGCAAGCCUGAUGCAGCCAUGCCGCGUGUGUGAAGAAGGCCUUAGGGUUGUAAAGCACUUUCAGUAAGGAGGAAAGGUUAGUAGUUAAUACCUGCUAGCUGUGACGUUACUUACAGAAGAAGCACCGGCUAACUCCGUGCCAGCAGCCGCGGUAAUACGGAGGGUGCGAGCGUUAAUCGGAAUUACUGGGCGUAAAGCGUACGCAGGCGGUUUGUUAAGCGAGAUGUGAAAGCCCCGGGCUCAACCUGGGAACUGCAUUUCGAACUGGCAAACUAGAGUAUGAUAGAGGGUGGUAGAAUUUCAGGUGUAGCGGUGAAAUGCGUAGAGAUCUGAAGGAAUACCGAUGGCGAAGGCAGCCACCUGGGUCAAUACUGACGCUCAUGUACGAAAGCGUGGGGAGCAAACGGGAUUAGAUACCCCGGUAGUCCACGCCGUAAACGAUGUCUACUAGGAGCUGGGGUCUUCGGACAACUUUUCCAAAGCUAACGCAUUAAGUAGACCGCCUGGGGAGUACGGCCGCAAGGUUAAAACUCAAAUGAAUUGACGGGGGCCCGCACAAGCGGUGGAGCAUGUGGUUUAAUUCGAUGCAACGCGAAAAACCUUACCUACACUUGACAUACAGAGAACUUA
This 910-nucleotide ribosomal RNA is filed under the name Pseudoalteromonas sp. R5M7. RNAcentral's name for it is "bacterial SSU rRNA". It matches the Rfam family "Bacterial small subunit ribosomal RNA", at positions 86 to 999 of the family's 1533-position model. The record is from RNAcentral. Lineage: Bacteria; Pseudomonadati; Pseudomonadota; Gammaproteobacteria; Alteromonadales; Pseudoalteromonadaceae.